AAGGUGACUCUUUGCUAAUGCGUGUAAUAAAAGAAUUGUGUAGCGGGAAAUGCUUACAGCUGUCUGUAGCACUCUGCUUCCAUGACAAGAUCUUUUAGUUUUCCUACAUGUUGCAUCAUAAAGAACAGACAAAAGGAAAGUUGCAUGCUGAGAGAUUUGAGAAGAAUAAGAGAACAAUUGACUGAAACAAAAAGAAAUGUAUGAGAAGGUGGAGGGGCAGAGGAUCAGACAGACGGGAGGAACCAAGACUCAUUUACACAGAUGAACAUGUGGACGAAAGUCAGUUCGUCAGAUAUGGAGAACUGUCCCUUGUCUCGGCUCACAGAUCAGAGGCUUCUGUUCUGGCCUGCAUCAACUUUUCCUGCAUUAAAACUCUCGGGUCUGAAAGAACUUUCCAAAGCCUUCUGAUGGCAUUCAGCAUUCGCCACGGGGGAAAAUAACAAGCUGGUUGCUCACUUUGUGACCUGCUGGAUGAGGUGGUUCCAGGUGCACCUGUCGUAGGCCUACUCUUCCUCCAGGCUGGGAACAUUGCCCCCUUGUAGUGCCUGAACUUCGGCUGAGUCGGGUGGCAGCCUCCCAUUUGUUAAAUGCUACAUGAGGUGACUGGAGCUUCUCUGCCCGUCGCUGAGAGGACAGAUGGAGAGGGCACGGAAUGUUCUGGAGAGCCGAUGGUAAUUACAAGCCAGUAGCAGAGCCGAUGGCUUCCGCAGGGAACAGGCCUGAGCGGAAGCGCUCGAGUGGCGUGGGGGGUUGUUUGCCCUUUGGCUGCUCAGCAUGCUGUUGCUCUGCGCGGUGAGCUCGUGUUGGGACUGCCGUCACUGCACAUUUCUCCGCUCUUCAUGUCAGGUGAGGUGUGUGUGGGAACAUGGUGACAUUUGUGAGCUUUUGUCAUUCACAAGGAGUUUAACUCUUCAGAUGUGUUUCCAGUUCUAUUCGUUUCAGUAGAUAACUGAUGGAAGUCGCAGAUGUGUACAAAAGAAUUUUAUGGAUCAGUCCACCCAAAAAUAAAAUAAUUAUCAUCAUUUACUCAUGUCGUGAUCAAAAGUGAUAUUUACAGUGAGUUUUCUUCAUACAUCAUAUCUCUCAUUUUAUAUUCUCUGACACUUGUCUCCUUGGUAACCAAGUACACUAACUUUUAAAAACUUACAGUAUUUAAUGACAUUAUUGUUGUUUGUGUACACCAAUUGUAUAUAAAUCAUAAAUUUGUUGAUUAUUUUUAUUUCACUUUUUUUCCACUCAAUUCUGAUACUUAAUUCUGAUUUUUUUUUAUGGAUUUAUUAUAGUUUAAUAUAAGGCUACAACAAUAAAAUCACAUUUAAUCAUUUAAUAAUAUUUCUAUUCAUUGGAUUUUAUAAUUCAUAAUUGUAACCUUGUACUUCACAACUGCAACCUUUUUCACGUCAUAUAUUAAGCUUUCUCACAAUAACUAAUAUUUCUUAAAAUUGUGACUUUAUAUCUCAUAACUCUGUCUUUUUCCCAUAUUUUAAAAGUUUUAUAUUUCAUUUCUUUUAAUAAUAUAAAAUAGAUUUGAAAUGUAGCAACAAUGAAUGAGGGCAUACUAAAAUAUUUCAGUGCCUUGUAAACUUUUUAUCAUGAAUCCAUCAUUACUACCCAUGUAUACAUUUUUAUUUGUCAGUUUUAUUAUUUUACCCUUGUCCCUGACUUUCAGUCUUAACUAUAACAAGCCAUUAUAAAAAUAUGAAUUAAUAAAUAUUUAAAACUAUGAUGUGAACAAAGAGUUAAAUAAAAAUAAUCCAUUUUGAUGUUUAUUGUGUAAAAAUUACUUUAUGAUUUUUUUUUUACACAAAUUAUGACUGUACCUCAUUUGUGGUGCCCACAAACAAGUUAUUUUGUAGUUACUGUACUUGGUUACAAUAGAGACAAAAUUGUUUCAAUGUAACCUUUAUAAAAAGGGGGCAUUAAAUCUGUUAGUUUUAAUAAAACCAAACCUUAAGAUAUAAAAAGUGCAAGAAGUUGGAGAAACACCCUUAUAUCUUUUCACAUCUGAUCAGUCAUCUGCUCAACAUCUCAAGAGCGUCCUGUCUGCAGGUGAUUAAUUACUUUGUCAGCCGUCAGUCUCAGAAAAUGAGAGGUGAGGGGGAAAAAAGAAGAAAAGGGAGGAGUAUGAGGGAAAGUGAGCGGGCACAGCUUUGCAGGAUGCUGAAAUGUAGCUCUGCAAUCCCCAUAGGGCUCAUAUUAAUGAGGGUGCAGAGAAAGUUAACAACUCACAUUAAGCACUAAUGCAUUCUUUAAUUAAUUAAGUGCUCAUUUAUAAAUAUCCAACACAUCCUGUACACGUUCAAUCUGACUUAACAAUAACAUAUUAACGAUUCCUGUUCCAGGCAUAACAUAUUUAAAUGUCAUUGAUACUCCAACAGCUAGAUAAACAUACUCUGAAACUCUAUUAACAGCAUUAGGUGAUGUCUGGAGCAGCACGAAUUCCCCUGCAAUUCUCUCAUAAUUACAAAUUAAUUUCACAUUUAAUGUAUGAACACAGCCAUGGUGAAAUUUAGUUAAUUAGUUGAUUAAAAUGCAUAGUUCAAAGUAAAAACUGAGCAAUUUUGAGCCAUUUAGUGAAUCAUUUUGUAGUUAUUGGACAGCUUUAACACUCUUCCUUUUCAUUAUUUUAUAAGCAGGUUCUUAGACCUGGAUGAUGCAGUUAAGACUCAAAUGUGUGCAAUACUAUAGAAAAUGCCUUUAUUAUCAUUACUGUUUGAUAAAGCGGCCACAUUCAGCUCAGACAGAACUGCCAGCGCAAAUGUAAGUAACCUAUCACACACACACACACACACACACACACACACUGAGCUUUGAGGUGAGUGUUAAUCUCUGAGGUGUGUUAGGAAAGCACAGAAGGAAGGAGAUAUCAAAUAAAGCUCAUGUAAAAAUAUUCUAGAGAAAUGAUUUACUAAAAAGCAUCCUAGUAAAAUUUAGAUAAGUAAAAACUCCAUGUGCCAUUCCAGUUUUAGCCCAAUACGAUGGGUUUCAUGAGAAGGAUAACAUGAUAAAGACGUGUUUGAACAUAUAAUCUCUGAGGAAAGAUUCCUCUGGGUUAAAUUCAAAAGAAUCACUUUAUGCACAUCGUUUUUCUCAGCAAAAGCAGGAAUACAUCUCUCACAUAGCUCUCUCAUACCUUAAUACUGAGACAAAGAAACACAUACAAGCUGCUAAAAAUAAACUGGCAUGCAUAGUCAGAAUGUUGACAAUAAAACCAAAAAAACACCCCUCAGGAUGUUAACAAUCCCGACACUCGAAAAUAAAAGCAACCCUGUUAAUAAAACGCUUCGUUUCCAGACAAAAUGCUUAACAGCCGUCUCUCAGAGUCGGUUUCAACAUGUUUGAAAUCAAUCAGAAUAUUUAAACCCGUGGAAGCAGACAAUCUGUGUAGAGCUGCGCACCUCCUCAUUGGAGAGGAACUUCACUUUUGGCACAGUGUGUUUCAUUUUUCAUGAAGCUGCACCUCCUUGUUCCCUGCAGGCGUCUCCUCGGUGUUCUUGCUGAAUGUGUGUGUGCUGAACAAAAGCCUUGGUUGUUUACGUCAAGGUAUCUCCUUGCGGUUGGGUGAUGAAGAGCAGGUGGCCUCAUUUGCAGAGAGCACUUCCUCAGAAGCAGCACCUUCACUGCCUCCUCUUCCUCCACGUGGCUGUCGGGCAGGCGAGGGCGAUUGCGUUCCCCUCCCGCGCCGUGCCGCCUGUCCGCCUGUGGGACCUGCUCCGUGGGCUUUUCAUCAGCUGCCAUUUUCACCAGCAUGCAGUAAUUUCAUGGCUCAUUGCAAGCGCUGAAAACCUUUGAAACUGCAAAUGUUAACUUUUGCCUGGCCCGGAGCCAUUUAGAAAGCGAUUAAUUCGGCAAACAGACGUGAGCCACUUUCUCCUCCCAAGUUUUCGCAUAAUUUUCCAACCCUUUCUAUCUGGGAUUUGCAUUGCAGGGAACUCGCAGGACAAGGAUAAUAACCAUUCCUGUUAAUUGUGGUUUGGUGAAGAAACAAGGCCUGUCGCUCUGCAGUCUGAUCUACCCGGCUGUCCCAAUCCAGUCCAAACAGGGAGAAUGAACAGAGAAUCGGAUCGAGAAUCAGAGAAAACUGUGUACAAGACUCUUUGAAGGGAGUGGAUAGGACGAAAUGCUGUUGAGGGACUGACAUUGAGAAACAUUUCUGGAUGGCAUGAAGGUUGAUGUGGCUGGCCUCCAAAAUCAUCGUGCCUGAGACCACACAGAUGGGGAUGAGAUAAAACUUCUGGGCGGGGCUAGUGAGCCACCUGUGGCAGUGACAUCAGCACGGCAGAGAUCAGGGGCCCUGUGGUCUCCAUCCCCCACAUCCACCUCGUGUCCUUUUAUCUGUGAUCAUGUAUCACCUGCAGCUACACGUCCAGCUGGAGGAGACAGAUUUCAUCUGUCAUCUGUGAGUGGAUCUCAAUACCCAGAACUAAGUCUGUCCAGAAGUCCAUGUCCAGCGGCCGGCCUGCCAGAGCUAAUCUCACAGAUGAAGCGUCUCCUUUUCUGCUCAGUCAUGUACCUGUGCGGGAGGGGGAAAGAGACGAGGAGGCCUCACGAUCAAAUUAAUCUCCUAUUAGAACAUGCAUCUGGGGUUAAAGUGAAAGACUCCAUUCCCUGUUGUUCUCUCACAUCAAAAUCCAGCGAUAUAUUUGUGUUGCGCAGAGAAGAAAGACAUGGAGAAGAAACCACAACCAAACUUCAUCAGUUCUCGCAUAUAUCGCCAACAUGCCAGCUCAAGACAGCAAAACACAAACCGAAGACGAGCUUCAAAAUGGAGGGACUGAAAAGAGGAAAGGAUGAGUGCAGAGAAAACAAAGAAACGGAGGAAGAAGGGAAGAAAAAGGCAGAGAGAAGAAGCGGCGGCAUGAUCUCCAUGCCACUGAUUUCCCCUGCGAUGAGAACAGCAUCAUGUUAAUUAUUUCAACCAUCUGCUGCAGCCCGUGAUGGAGGCGCCCUCCACCUCACACAGAUUUGUACCUGUCAGUCAAAUUGCGGGACCAACACGAGGCGCUGUGGCGGCGAGAAUAAGAUCCAACGCAUGCCAAGGUCCUGAGGGAUUGAGCUGUGGUGUGAAAUUAAUCUGGAGUUCACAAUUUAGCUGGACUCUCUGAAUUUAUGCUCAAAGAAGCCUCAACAUCUGGCUAUUUUUGGAGUGUUUUGGCAUGAGAAGUGCCAAAAGCAGAACUUUAGGAAUUUCUGCAGCUCCUUUUGACUGAAUGAGAUGUCUCAUGAUAGACCUUUCUGUACAGUAUGUAUCAUGAAACAUCACAGAAUUCUUUGAAUUCUUUGUUAAAACCAAACCAUGUUUCUGCUGUUGUUUUCUCCCCCACCAAAAAUGAUGACACUUUUAUAAGAUCUUAUAAAUUUCAUUAACUUUCUGCUGUUUUUUUUU
This is a long non-coding RNA of Cyprinus carpio carpio, 5386 nucleotides long. The record is from Ensembl. NCBI's taxonomy places the organism in Eukaryota, Metazoa, Chordata, Actinopteri, Cypriniformes, Cyprinidae.